UACGAAGGGGGCUAGCGUUGCUCGGAAUCACUGGGCGUAAAGCGCACGUAGGCGGAUUGUUAAGUCAGGGGUGAAAUCCUGGAGCUCAACUCCAGAACUGCCUUUGAUACUGGCGAUCUCGAGUCCGGGAGAGGUGAGUGGAACUGCGAGUGUAGAGGUGAAAUUCGUAGAUAUUCGCAAGAACACCAGUGGCGAAGGCGGCUCACUGGCCCGGUACUGACGCUGAGGUGCGAAAGCGUGGGGA
This 244-nucleotide ribosomal RNA is filed under the name uncultured bacterium. RNAcentral describes it as "partial 16S ribosomal RNA". It matches the Rfam family "Bacterial small subunit ribosomal RNA", at positions 524 to 767 of the family's 1533-position model. The record is from RNAcentral.